RNAcentral lists this ribosomal RNA (433 nucleotides) under uncultured bacterium. Its description in RNAcentral is "partial 16S ribosomal RNA". It matches the Rfam family "Bacterial small subunit ribosomal RNA", at positions 29 to 507 of the family's 1533-position model. The record is from RNAcentral.
AGCGAACGCUGGCGGCAGGCUUAACACAUGCCAGUCGAGCGGGCCCUUCGGGGUCAGCGGCGGACGGGUGAGUAACGCGUGGGAACGUGCCUUCUGGUCUGGAAUAACCCUGGGAAACUAGGGCUAAUACCGGAUACGCCCUUUUGGGGAAAGGUUUACUGCCGGAAGAUCGGCCCGCGUCUGAUUAGCUAGUUGGUGGGGUAACGGCUUACCAAGGCGACGAUCAGUAGCUGGUCUGAGAGGAUGAUCAGCCACACUGGGACUGAGACACGGCCCAGACUCCUACGGGAGGCAGCAGUGGGGAAUAUUGGACAAUGGGCGCAAGCCUGAUCCAGCCAUGCCGCGUGAGUGAUGAAGGCCUUAGGGUUGUAAAGCUCUUUUAUCCGGGACGAUAAUGACGGUACCGGAGGAAUAAGCCCCGGCUAACUUCGUG